RNAcentral lists this transfer RNA (73 nucleotides) under Minisyncoccota bacterium. Its description in RNAcentral is "tRNA-Met". It matches the Rfam family "tRNA". Rfam says of the family: Transfer RNA (tRNA) molecules are approximately 80 nucleotides in length. Their secondary structure includes four short double-helical elements and three loops (D, anti-codon, and T loops). Further hydrogen bonds mediate the characteristic L-shaped molecular structure. tRNAs have two regions of fundamental functional importance: the anti-codon, which is responsible for specific mRNA codon recognition, and the 3' end, to which the tRNAs corresponding amino acid is attached (by aminoacyl-tRNA synthetases). tRNAs cope with the degeneracy of the genetic code in two manners: having more than one tRNA (with a specific anti-codon) for a particular amino acid; and 'wobble' base-pairing, i.e. permitting non-standard base-pairing at the 3rd anti-codon position. The record is from RNAcentral. Lineage: Bacteria; Bacillati; Minisyncoccota.
GGCAAGGUAGCUCAGCGGUUAGAGCAUCGGAUUCAUAAACCGAAGGCCGUGGGUUCAAGUCCCACCCUUGCUA